Molecule: ribosomal RNA, 253 nt
Filed under: uncultured bacterium
Lineage: Bacteria
Description: partial 16S ribosomal RNA
Rfam family: Bacterial small subunit ribosomal RNA
Source: RNAcentral
UACGUAGGGUGCAAGCGUUGUCCGGAAUUAUUGGGCGUAAAGAGCUCGUAGGCGGUCUGUCGCGUCUGCUGUGAAAACCCGCGGCUUAACCGCGGGCUUGCAGUUGAUACGGGCAGGCUAGAGUUCGGUAGGGGAGACUGGAAUUCCUGGUGUAGCGGUGAAAUGCGCAGAUAUCAGGAGGAACACCGGUGGCGAAGGCGGGUCUCUGGGCCGAUACUGACGCUGAGGAGCGAAAGCGUGGGGAGCGAACAGG